Molecule: long non-coding RNA, 1329 nt
Organism: Micropterus dolomieu (smallmouth bass)
Lineage: Eukaryota; Metazoa; Chordata; Actinopteri; Centrarchiformes; Centrarchidae
Exons: 5
Source: RefSeq, a predicted model, not a curated record
CACUGCAGAGGGGGGAGCUCUGGAUGUUAGCUGAAGCUAACGCCAAUGGUGAACUGGGGACUCUGCGAUCACAACUGGACGGACCUGUGGCAACAACCAAACUUUUGGUCAACAAUUAGAUGUGUAGUAUUUCAACAGUAGUAUUUUACUCUAUAAAGUUGUUACCAGUUGACGCGGUCAUUUCAAACCACUCGAGGCCGGUGUUGGGUUCUGUUACAUCGGGUACUUGAGGACUGGGAGAUGGCGGUGGCCCGCGAAUUUGCUACAGAAACCGACCAGCAGGUUUGGUUACACUGUCAUAAGAGGGCAGGGAGGCAGUUGAGGGAGUGCCCUCCUUCUUGUCUUGUUCCUGAUUGUCCCCGCCAUUCUCCACUUUGUUAUUGGCUGGUCUGCGCUUACAGACAAAACCCCGCCUAGCCAGCAAACAGGUUGACACCCAUGAUGCUGAAGAUGAGCCAGAAGAUGAGACACACCAGCAGCACAUUCAUGAUGGAGGGAAUUGCACCCACCAAGGCGUUCACCACAACCUGUAGAGAACAGCGAGGACACAGAGCCACUGUUGGUGGUUCAAUCCCUGGCUCCUCCAGUCUGCAUGGUCCAAUCCCAAUCAUCACCCAAAAGCCUAAACCCUGAACCCUCACAGAGUUAGUAGAUGUCACUUGGUUUCCGAUGACCAUGACCAUCAUGAAGACGGUGAGGCACAUGGUCUGUCCUGCCACCUCCAUACAGUCCCACAUGGUCUCAAUCCACUCCCCACACAACACUCUGAACACAAUCAGGAAGGAGUGGAAGAAGUCAUUCAUGUGCCAGCGAGGCAGUUCACAGUCCAGGGCGAUUUUACACACGCAGUCCUUGUAGCUUUUGCCAAACAGCUGCAUGCCCACCACGGCAAAGAUGAAGACGAUGAUGGCCAACACCAGGGUCAGAUUACCCAGAGCUCCCACUGAGUUACCAAUGAUCUUGAUCAGCAUGUUGAGGGUGGGCCACGAUUUGGCUAGUUUGAACACUCUCAACUACAAGAGACACAGGAUUAUUCCAAAGUUAGUUUUAUUUUAGGACAUUGAUUUAAAAGUGGUUGGACAUAAAAUUACUCAUGUUUUUAUUUCAUUUUGAAGGUCAAGUGAAGCAAAUGUACUGGCUGCCAACAUGUGUAUGCCAUGUGGUGGGCACAGGCACAAGAUAUAAAUAUUAGGAGGUUUUACAGUUUAAAGAUAAGAUAAGUCUUGAUCCCCAGAGAGGGAAUUCUGCAUCAAAUACGUUUAGCAAAUAAACAACACAUUAGUAGUAUACACAAUCUAAUUUUCAUAUUUUUCAAGCCUUAAACUCAGC